This 262-nucleotide unclassified non-coding RNA is filed under the name Heterosigma akashiwo. RNAcentral's name for it is "iron transporter like". The record is from RNAcentral. Lineage: Eukaryota; Raphidophyceae; Chattonellales; Chattonellaceae.
CGGGGUUUGUGGGAUCUUCCCUUGGAGGUGAUGUCCAGUGCAUUUGAUGAGAGGAGAGGUGGUCGGAGGAUUUGUACGACCGGCACUUACACGUGCUCCAGUCGGGGGUGGUGUCCGUGCAUUUGAUGGAAGAGAGGUGGUCCGUGCAUCUGUCGGGAGAGAUGUCAGAUUGUCAGUGAUUGUGACGACGGCACUGCCCGCAAACGAUUCACUGUCGAUAGAAUUGACCGUGACAGUUACAGUCUUUCCAGUUCCACCAAAC